UCUUUUAAACUAAGCAAAACAGCCCCAUUAUCUCGACAAGAGGCAUGGAUAAUCGCAAGAGACAUGGAUAAACAAUACAUAUAUGACAAAAUACAUGGAAGAGCAAAUUGUGAGUUUACACACAUUACAAAUCAAAUAAACCUCAUCUUAUAAAAGUUGCAGACUUAAAAAGUUGCAGUCAACCAAGUUCCAUACAUUCGCCCCACAGCUGGCAUUUAGACAAGUGUUCCGGCCUGACCGCAAAAUAAAAUCUGGUACAAUCAACCAUAUAUUUUACUAAUUUACCAAAUAAAAAUUAAAAGACUAUUUAUUAAAACUUGAGCAAAUGCUAUAUGCAUAAUAUUUCAUCAUGUAAAUUGAGCAUUCUCAUAAAGGAAGAGUCUAAGGUCAACAUGAAUAAAUUCCCAAGCUUGAUGGUCAUUAUCCAUAUCUGGGUCUGCAUCCUCCAGAAAUUCUAACCAUCUCACAUAUUCUUCUUCCCAAGCUUCCGAUCAUCCCCGGACCCAGUAACAUCCACCCCAACAUUUUUACUCUUCCUCUCUUUGACUGCUUGUUUUCAAAUAACAAAUAAUAGCUCAGUGAUGAGCCAACAAUGCUUCAUGAAAUAACUUUCCACACCACGUGCAUUUUUGUUUCUCUGGCAACACAUAUUUCCUGUAUUCAGCUUCGACGGGCCAGAACCAAGAUUUGACGGGAAGCCAUGUCAAUUAUUAUUAUUCAAAGAAUUGAUCGAACCUUUAAAAAUGUGGCAAGAAGAAUUGUUUUGAUAAAUAGAGAAUCAAGAGUACUGCAUAUGAAUGUAAAAAUUUAAAUGAACGGUAGACCACGUCUCCUUUUUCCAUGGUAAGAAUCCCUUGAACGAGAUCUGUGAUCCUCCUCCACAACACGCGAUUUGCCCUUAGAUCCUGCCGAUUUGUCCCCGACCACAAUCAUCCUUGUAAGCCCGAUGAUUGUCAUAGUCAUCCUUUUCCUCCCUGUACCCAUGCUCCCUGUACUGGUGGUCCCUGUAGCGGUGCUCCCUGUACCUAUGCUCGCUGUACUGGCGGUAUCGGUUCUCCCUAUAUCCAUGCUCCCUGUCACAUGAUUGCUCUUAUCACCAGGCCUCUUAUCAGAGUCUCCUGACCAGUCACGUUCAUAUCCUUGUUCAGAUUUAUCAAGGCACCUUCCCCUCUUGGAUCCAUGAUACACCAGCACCUUGUUGCUACCUGUCAAGGUAAAGCGGCUAAUCUCAUUUACCCAUUGCGUCACUUUGGCAACCCAAAAGAUGAACUUGGUUGGGGAAAGCUCCAUCCACGGCUUAGCCAGUACAAGUGUGAUGGCU
This 1321-nucleotide long non-coding RNA is filed under the name Daucus carota (carrot). RNAcentral describes it as "long non-coding RNA (DCAR_LNC000398)". Lineage: Eukaryota; Viridiplantae; Streptophyta; Magnoliopsida; Apiales; Apiaceae. The record is from RNAcentral.